UCCGCAGUAGCUCAAUGGUAGAGCGGGUGGCUGUUAACCACUAGGUUGGGGGUUCAAAUCCCUCCUGCGGAGCCA
This 75-nucleotide transfer RNA is filed under the name Candidatus Methylomirabilota bacterium. Its description in RNAcentral is "tRNA-Asn". It matches the Rfam family "tRNA". From Rfam's summary of the family: Transfer RNA (tRNA) molecules are approximately 80 nucleotides in length. Their secondary structure includes four short double-helical elements and three loops (D, anti-codon, and T loops). Further hydrogen bonds mediate the characteristic L-shaped molecular structure. tRNAs have two regions of fundamental functional importance: the anti-codon, which is responsible for specific mRNA codon recognition, and the 3' end, to which the tRNAs corresponding amino acid is attached (by aminoacyl-tRNA synthetases). tRNAs cope with the degeneracy of the genetic code in two manners: having more than one tRNA (with a specific anti-codon) for a particular amino acid; and 'wobble' base-pairing, i.e. permitting non-standard base-pairing at the 3rd anti-codon position. RNAcentral also lists the same sequence under 5 other names. Lineage: Bacteria; Methylomirabilota (SeqCode). The record is from RNAcentral.